This 92-nucleotide microRNA precursor is filed under the name Lotus japonicus. Its description in RNAcentral is "miR11083d stem-loop (lja-MIR11083d, lja-MIR11083f)". The record is from miRBase by way of RNAcentral. Lineage: Eukaryota; Viridiplantae; Streptophyta; Magnoliopsida; Fabales; Fabaceae.
AUGCAUGGUUGCUUAUUGGGUUGCUUAAAUGCUAUUCUGGUGGGCCCAGACUGCCACAUGGGAUUUAAGCAACUCAUAAGCAACCCAUGCAU